AUGGAGUGCCAUAGCAUGACUCAAUCUUGCUCUACUUUUGCUAUAAAAUAUUUCUGGCAGAUUCUUAACAUGAUAUUCAAUUUUGUCAAGCUUGUUGUAGUUGUUUCAUACAUGCUAUGUAUUUUCUCUUGCUGUAGGUAUGCUUGUUUUGUCAUGCAUUGCCUUGUGUUGAGUGCAUCAAGCUCACCAAGAUGCCCUCAUAAUGUCUGUUUUCUGCCAAGUCUGAAACCUGUUAACGAAACUUUCUAUGUUUACAUGGUUGCCAUCAUAUCUUCUUUUCCUUUUUGGCUUAUGGUCAGUAAGGGACUUUUGUCAUAUGCAUUUAUUAGAAUACUGCCAUGCCUUAUUUUGCUAUGUUAA
RNAcentral lists this ribosomal RNA (360 nucleotides) under Triticum aestivum (bread wheat). RNAcentral's name for it is "partial small subunit ribosomal RNA". The record is from RNAcentral. Lineage: Eukaryota; Viridiplantae; Streptophyta; Magnoliopsida; Poales; Poaceae.